Molecule: ribosomal RNA, 958 nt
Filed under: Geastrum entomophilum
Lineage: Eukaryota; Fungi; Basidiomycota; Agaricomycetes; Geastrales; Geastraceae
Description: eukaryotic LSU rRNA
Rfam family: Eukaryotic large subunit ribosomal RNA
Source: RNAcentral
UUUGACCUCAAAUCAGGUAGGACUACCCGCUGAACUUAAGCAUAUCAAUAAGCGGAGGAAAAGAAACUAACAAGGAUUCCCCUAGUAACGGCGAGUGAAGAGGGAAAAGCUCAAAUUUGAAAUCUGGCGGCCUACGGUCGUCCGAGUUGUAAUCUAGAGAAGUGUUUUCCGUGCUGGACCGUGUACAAGUCCUUUGGAACAAGGCGUCAUAGAGGGUGAGAAUCCCGUCUACGACACGGACUACCAGUGCUUUGUGAUACACUCUCAACGAGUCGAGUUGUUUGGGAAUGCAGCUCAAAAUGGGUGGUAAAUUCCAUCUAAAGCUAAAUACAGGCGAAAGACCGAUAGCGAACAAGUACCGUGAGGGAAAGAUGAAAAGCACUUUGGAAAGAGAGUUAAAAAGUACGUGAAAUUGUUGAAAGGGAAACGCUUGAAGUCAGUCGCGUCUUCAGAAACUCAGCUAGGCUUCUGCCUGGUGUACUUUUCUGUUGGACGGGCCAGCAUCAGUUUUGGCCGCCAGAAAAAGGUGAGAGGAAGGUGGCACCUCCGGGUGUGUUAUAGCCUCUCAUCGUAUGUGGCGGCUGGGACUGAGGACUGCAGCAUGCCUUCAUGGCCGGGGUUCGCCCACGUAACGUGCUUAGGAUGCUGGCGUAAUGGCUUUAAACGACCCGUCUUGAAACACGGACCAAGGAGUCUAACAUGCCUGCGAGUAUUUGGGUGGUAAACCCAUAUGCGGAAUGAAAGUGAACAGUUGGGACUUCUGUCAUGGAAGGCACCGACGCCCGGACCAGACCUAUUGUGACGGAUCCGAGGUAGAGCAUGUAUGUUGGGACCCGAAAGAUGGUGAACUAUGCCUGAGUAGGGUGAAGCCAGAGGAAACUCUGGUGGAGGCUCGUAGCGAUUCUGACGUGCAAAUCGAUCGUCGAACUUGGGUAUAGGGGCGAAAGACUAAUCGAAC